RNAcentral lists this ribosomal RNA (254 nucleotides) under uncultured bacterium. RNAcentral's name for it is "partial 16S ribosomal RNA". It matches the Rfam family "Bacterial small subunit ribosomal RNA", at positions 524 to 776 of the family's 1533-position model. The record is from RNAcentral.
CACGUAGGGUGCGAGCGUUGUCCGGGAUUAUUGGGCGUAAAGAGCUCGUAGGCGGGGUGUCGCGUCGGCCGUGAAAACCUGCAGCUUAACUGUGGGCCUGCGGUCGAUACGGGCAUCACUGGAGUUCGGCAGGGGAGACUGGAAUUCCUGGUGUAGCGGUGAAAUGCGCAGAUAUCAGGAGGAACACCGGUGGCGAAGGCGGGUCUCUGGGCCGAUACUGACGCUGAGGAGCGAAAGCGUGGGGAGCGAACAGG